GUGGGGAAUCUUCCGCAAUGGACGAAAGUCUGACGGAGCGACGCCGCGUGAGUGAAGAAGGCCUUCGGGUCGUAAAGCUCUGUCAUCAGGGACGAACGGCCGGUGGAGUGGAAAGCCACCGGAUUGACGGUACCUGAGAAGGAAGCCACGACUAACUACGUGCCAGCAGCCGCGGUAAUACGUAGGUGGCAAGCGUUGUCCGGAAUUAUUGGGCGUAAAGCGCGCGCAGGUGGGAUCUUAAGUCCAUUUUGAAAGUUCGGAGCUCAACUCCGUGAUGGGAUGGAAACUGGGAUUCUUGAGUACCGGAGAGGAAAGCGGAAUUCCCCGUGUAGCGGUGAAAUGCGUAGAUAUGGGGAGGAACACCAGUGGCGAAGGCGGCUUUCUGGACGGUGUCUGACACUGAGGCGCGAAAGCUAGGGGAGCGAACGGGAUUAGAAACCCCGGUAGUCC
This 450-nucleotide ribosomal RNA is filed under the name uncultured bacterium. RNAcentral's name for it is "partial 16S ribosomal RNA". It matches the Rfam family "Bacterial small subunit ribosomal RNA", at positions 354 to 796 of the family's 1533-position model. The record is from RNAcentral.